CAAGUCGAACGGAGCUUAGAGAGCUUGCUUUUUAAGCUUAGUGGCGAACGGGUGAGUAACGCGUGAGUAACCUGCCCUAGAGUGGGGGACAACAGUUGGAAACGACUGCUAAUACCGCAUAAGCCCACGGUGCCGCAUGGUACUGAGGGAAAAGGAUUUAUUCGCUUUAGGAUGGACUCGCGUCCAAUUAGCUAGUUGGUGAGGUAACGGCCCACCAAGGCAACGAUACAUAGGGGGACUGAGAGGUUGAACGGCCACAUUGGGACUGAGAUACGGCCCAGACUCC
RNAcentral lists this ribosomal RNA (286 nucleotides) under uncultured Subdoligranulum sp. Its description in RNAcentral is "partial 16S ribosomal RNA". It matches the Rfam family "Bacterial small subunit ribosomal RNA", at positions 58 to 339 of the family's 1533-position model. Lineage: Bacteria; Bacillati; Bacillota; Clostridia; Eubacteriales; Oscillospiraceae. The record is from RNAcentral.